GGCGAAAUUCUGUCUUUGAGCCGAUUUAUUGCAAUCUGGCAACGUCCUCGCCUUUAUUUCUCGCUGUCACUAUAUUUUCCUAUUAGUCGUCUGCUUCUUGCACGUUUUGAAGUCGAGUGUGACAUUCUGUUCUCGAAGAUCACCGUUACUUGUCUUUCUUUCUGUGAUUUCUGUUCGGUCUUUGUCUCACAAGUUCACUCUGGAACUAUUCUGCCUUGCCUCAUUUCUGUGGUCAAAUAGCCUGUGAGCCAUUGUGUUCUAUUUUCUGCUUUGCAGGCACCAUCGCUUAUACCAUUGCUACGUCAACAUCGUUAACUCUCAUAGUCAUACUGCCAUUCUGGCAGACAAAUCUUACUCGCAAUACAUUGAAGAGAAAACCCACUGCCGGCCUAUGCUCUAAUUUAGCUUCUGAACAUUUUGGUCCUUCGAACCGGAGCUUUAGUCAGUGAAGGUGGUGGCCAGCUUAUUGUUCAGCCAACAUCAUCAUCGUUGGCCCCUCAUCAUUCUGCUACACGAGUUCCUGUAGCCAGCCUUCUACUGCCAGCAUUUACAACGUUGGCCUGUCAUCAUCCUGCUGUUCAAGUCCAUCGUGUACAGCCAUCCUACACAGCCAACAUCCAUUGUUGGCCAGUCAUCAUUCUGCUACACGAGUCCUGUAGCCAGCCUACUACAGCCAGCAUUUACAACGUUGGCCAGUCAUAUCACUGCUGCCCAGUUCUUCAUGGUCAGCUGCUUCCCACGUUC
Daphnia pulicaria is the source of this 744-nucleotide long non-coding RNA. RefSeq lists it as uncharacterized. The record is from RefSeq and is a predicted model, not a curated record. The transcript has 3 exons. NCBI's taxonomy places the organism in Eukaryota, Metazoa, Arthropoda, Branchiopoda, Diplostraca, Daphniidae.